Molecule: ribosomal RNA, 254 nt
Filed under: uncultured bacterium
Lineage: Bacteria
Description: partial 16S ribosomal RNA
Rfam family: Bacterial small subunit ribosomal RNA
Source: RNAcentral
UACGGGGGGGGCAAGCGUUGUUCGGAAUUACUGGGCGUAAAGGGCUCGUAGGCGGCUCAGUAAGUCGGGUGUGAAACCCCCGGGCUCAACCCGGGGACGCCACCUGAUACUGCUGUGGCUUGAGUCCGGUAGGGGAGAGUGGAAUUCCUGGUGUAGCGGUGAAAUGCGCAGAUAUCAGGAGGAACACCAGCGGCGAAGGCGGCGCUCUGGACCGGUACUGACGCUGAGGAGCGAAAGCGUGGGGAGCAAACAGG